UACGUAGGGUGCUAGCGUUGUUCGGAAUCAUUGGGCGUAAAGCGCGUGUAGGUGGUCAGUAAAGUUGGAUGUGAAAUCCCUGGGCUCAACCGAGGAAGUGCAUUCAAAACUCACUGGCUUGAGAGUGGUAGAGGAAGGUGGAAUUCCUAGUGUAGAGGUGAAAUUCGUAGAUAUUAGGAGGAAUACCGGAGGCGAAGGCGGCCUUCUGGACCAUUUCUGACACUGAGACGCGAAAGCGUGGGUAGCAAACAGG
This 253-nucleotide ribosomal RNA is filed under the name uncultured bacterium. RNAcentral's name for it is "partial 16S ribosomal RNA". It matches the Rfam family "Bacterial small subunit ribosomal RNA", at positions 524 to 776 of the family's 1533-position model. The record is from RNAcentral.